ACUCAUACCUGGCAGGGGAAAUACCAUGAUCAUAAAAGUGGUUUUCCCAGGGUAAGGCUCAUCCAUUGCACUUUGGAUGUGCUGAUCCCUGUGAUUUCCCCAAAUAUGGGAAAAUCAACUGCCUAAUUUGUGGUAGUGGGGGACUGUGUUUGUCAUUUCCCCUGA
This 165-nucleotide small nuclear RNA is filed under the name Pogona vitticeps (central bearded dragon). RNAcentral's name for it is "U1 spliceosomal RNA (ENSPVIG00000000544.1)". It matches the Rfam family "U1 spliceosomal RNA". Rfam says of the family: U1 is a small nuclear RNA (snRNA) component of the spliceosome (involved in pre-mRNA splicing). Its 5' end forms complementary base pairs with the 5' splice junction, thus defining the 5' donor site of an intron. The record is from RNAcentral. Lineage: Eukaryota; Metazoa; Chordata; Lepidosauria; Squamata; Agamidae.